UUAGUUGUAGCAUUACCAGAGUUCUUAUUAAAUGCAAAAUAAAAUCACUAAAGCUAUACUUUGGUGAUAAAGUUUAAACUUAAUUUUAAGUAGUCUAUAUGUGUUUAUUAUUGAAUAAUUCUAUGCAUCUGCCAAUCUGUCAUGUGGUCUAUGUGAUACAUUUAUGAUCACGUUAUAAAGAUCAAAGAGCAUACAAAAAGAACAUUUGUACUUGGCAUGGUGCUGAUUAUAGGAAUUUAUAUUAGUAUUGAAAAUUGGUAAGUUCAAGAUGGGUAAAGAGACUGGAGAAAUCUUCAUAGAUGAAUUAAACCCUACUGUCAUAAAAAUAGGAAACACUUGCUAAAUAUUUAUUAACAUAAAAUUAGGCACACUCUUGUUAAAUCUCUGACCUAGAUCAUUGCAGGAACUUUAAAAUGAUCUCCCUGACCAUUUUUACCUCCUGUUCAUCCGCUGCACUACUGAUACUAGAGACCAAAAUUGACGAGGCCAUUUCCAGUUUUAAGUACUCUUGUUUUCUGUCUGCAGAAUAUAAAAUAGAAUCCAAUGUCUUCAGUGAAAAUUAUAAAGAACAUUUACGUCUUACCCCUGGCUAAAUUUUAGUUCUAUUUACUUGCAAUUCCUGACUAUCAAGACUAUUUCACAUAGCAGCAGCUCAGAUAGCAUCUCCACUGAAAAAUAUUGGUUGGUUCCACAAGCUUGAAUCUACUACUCUCUUCAGUGUUUCUAAACUUUUGGGAGCAGCAGUGGUACCAUGAGGCUGAGAAGAUAUUUGCCUUUCUUUGACUCCAGGAUUAGUUCUCCUUUGCUAACAUCUUAAUAUCUUCUGAAAUAAAACAGGGAACAGCCAACUAAAAAUCAAUUCACCACGUCUGAAGCUGCCAGAUCCAGAAUGAGCAAGAGCAGACAUAAUAUGAUUAUGAGGACUCAGAGCAUUCAGGACAUACAACUGAAUCCCACAUAAAUUGCCAGCCAAAGGGAGAUGUUGCUGGAUGACCUGCUAACAGGGAUUUAGAGCGAUCAAGCUUUUCGAUCUAUGUUUCCAUGGUGAGGUAGAUAACAUGUUCAAAAAUUAGGCUUUUAUGGUCACAAAUUCUGCCAAAACUUUAGCUCAUUACCUCUAAACAAGUGUUCAAUAAUUGCAAGAUUAAUAUUGUUGAGCAUUUAGUGUAUUAAAGCAUUUGCUACUGUUAUGAAGAUUUUCCUGAAAAAAGACCCACUUGAAAUCAUCUCUAUUUUAUUGUAGAUAAAAGUGAGACAUGAAAAGAAAUGCUUUUUAUAACACGAUGCAGUGUAUUAGUGUAAGAAAGUACCUGAAUGAUUAAUUUAAUACUACUUGUGGUGGCACUCAAUAAUAAACCUAACAAAAUCAAGACAAGAGAAUUGACAGAGUUCUUCCUUGACUUAUGAAUGUCUAUACAUAGACUUUUACGUGUGUAGAUAUGAAAUCACAUUUAGAGUGCAUACACACGUAUACACAUUUAUUACGUAUCUACUCAGAAAUACUUUAUUGUAGAAAAAUAUUCUAUUAAAUCAGGAAAAGAAGCAUUAUUAUUUACACAUGGAUAACAGAGGUAACAUGCAUUUCCAUAUCUAUACAGCAGGUAUAAGGUGGAGCAUAUGUUUUUAAGAAUUCAACGUCUCCACAACAGAGACAGGAGCAAAACAGGACCAUUGUCCCAGCAGCCCCACAUACAAUGCCAACAGGACAGAAAACUUUCCUUAUACCAGACAUCAUAAUCUCUUUAUGGACUUGAAUGUUGAACUGGUUAAAUAAUUGUCCAAAAUGAUUUUUUUGAAUAAUGAAAGUGAAUAAGGUAUUAGCUGGCAAUUUUUUCAGGCAUGCAAAUGGUGGCUAAAAUUUAUUAAUAUACUAUUAAAACAGAACAUUAUUAUCCUGUUGAUAUUUAACUAUUUUCAUAACCUGUAUUCCUGUGCCUUUAUAUAUAUAUGUGAGUCUAUAUAUAUUCAUUUUAA
This 1974-nucleotide long non-coding RNA is filed under the name Homo sapiens (human). Its description in RNAcentral is "HSALNT0056814". Lineage: Eukaryota; Metazoa; Chordata; Mammalia; Primates; Hominidae. The record is from RNAcentral.